Gasterosteus aculeatus aculeatus (three-spined stickleback) is the source of this 1198-nucleotide long non-coding RNA. The record is from Ensembl. Lineage: Eukaryota; Metazoa; Chordata; Actinopteri; Perciformes; Gasterosteidae.
AUUUUAAAGUCACAUUAAAAUCUCAUGUUGCUUCAAUAGGUGAGAAUUGAAUACACUUAACAUAAAAGGGACAUUUUAAAGUAACACAAAAAAAAUAAGUUGGGUUAUCAGAAUAAUUUAUUACAAUUAACAUUAAUAAAAUAUUUUGAAUUUACAUGAGAAAAUCAUGUUUGUUUUACAAAUAAAAAUUAAGUAUAUUAAAUAGAAAUGAAUCAUUUUGACUAAACAUGAAUAUAAUAUGUGCAACCGAUGUACAUAUUUUUUUCAUGUAAAUUCAAAAGACUUUUUUUUUCAGUGUUGCAUAAAACACAUCAAAGCUGUACUAUUUGCCUGAAUUCUCUCCCGGUCAAUAGUUGAAAAGCUUUGUCUGACCCCUCAUUUGUUGAGAGCAAAAUAGAUUUGGUUCAAUUUACAGAAGGCAUGUGUGCCCCGGGAUACACUGAACAUGAGCUUGUGUCAGGAGUGUUUAUAGGAACCGUGCGCCUAGUCACUCUGUACCAACAGAUCCCUGUUACCCUUUAAAGGCAAAGCCUGCGGAGGUACAUGUUACUGUUGAAAUAUGGAUUAAGAACGAGGUGUACUCCUGUUCCGGUCUGCUGAAACAUUUCUCAGGAUGUAAGGCAAAAAUAUAGAAAAUGUUAACUUUUACAAGUUAGCAUAACUUUUAAAAAUAUUCAAUCACAGUCAGUAAGCGUUUUGUUUCUGUAUCUGCAGGGUAAGAGUUGAAGACAUCAAUUUCAUGUCCUCUGUAACGGAUGAGGUUCAACACAUUUACAAUGGUGUUCACCCAACGACAUAAUGUCUCCAUCAUAGGAAAGUGAUGCAGCGGCUCGAGUGGGAUGAGCAAAGGCUGCUGUCACCAUGAUCAACCCAGUCAGAGGUGGGAGCAUGUGUCAUCAGAGGAGGACUUAAGGUUAUCGGAGUUCCGGAUGCUCUGCUCUCCCAUUUUCUCUCAAUUUCUCUGUCUCUCUUUCUCCCGUCUCUCCCCCUGCGAACAAACCGAACCUUUCCAUCAGCCGCUGCUAUCUCCAAAUGUCAAUCAAAUAGGGUGAACUGCAGGCGACUGUUUUUAAACGACCUCUGUAGUGUCCGCUUCAGACGAAUCAACGGGCAGGACACAGGAGAUGUGUCUCUUCAAGUCCUAUCAUGUCGAGAAAUCCUUUGAUUUUCUAAGAGUGGGGAGAGAAAAAAAAAGAAG